AUUGAACGCUGGCGGCAGGCCUAACACAUGCAAGUCGAGCGGAUGAAGGGAGCUUGCUCCUGGAUUCAGCGGCGGACGGGCGAGUAAUGCCUAGGAAUCUGCCUGGUAGUGGGGGAUAACGUCCGGAAACGGGCGCUAAUACCGCAUACGUCCUGAGGGAGAAAGUGGGGGAUCUUCGGACAUCACGCUAUCAGAUGAGCCUAGGUCGGAUUAGCUAGUUGGUGGGGUAAAGGCCUACCAAGGCGACGAUCCGUAACUGGUCUGAGAGGAUGAUCAGUCACACUGGAACUGAGACACGGUCCAGACUCCUACGGGAGGCAGCAGUGGGGAAUAUUGGACAAUGGGCGAAAGCCUGAUCCAGCCAUGCCGCGUGUGUGAAGAAGGUCUUCGGAUUGUAAAGCACUUUAAGUUGGGAGGAAGGGCAGUAAGUUAAUACCUUGCUGUUUUGACGUUACCAACAGAAUAAGCACCGGCUAACUUCGUG
This 484-nucleotide ribosomal RNA is filed under the name uncultured bacterium. Its description in RNAcentral is "partial 16S ribosomal RNA". It matches the Rfam family "Bacterial small subunit ribosomal RNA", at positions 30 to 507 of the family's 1533-position model. The record is from RNAcentral.